GCGACCCCAGAUGAGCGAGGCAACCCGCUGAGUUUAAGCAUAUCAAU
Molecule: ribosomal RNA, 47 nt
Filed under: Liparis macrosepala
Lineage: Eukaryota; Viridiplantae; Streptophyta; Magnoliopsida; Asparagales; Orchidaceae
Description: partial large subunit ribosomal RNA
Source: RNAcentral